UCGAUUAUUUACAGACCGCCGCUGUAUAGAGGAACUAUUGCUGAGUGCGGCGUUAAACAACAAACAAACGCACACAUCUGCUGCACCCUCCUUGUGACCAGACAUUUAAUAGCCGCGAUACAAUGCCACCAAUCCUUCAAAAGCAACCAUUCGGUGCUCAUUUGAAAAUAUCAUUUGGUACUGCAAUUAUCUCGAGAACUAUUUGAAAAGGUAUAAAAUUGCCUUGUCCUGUAUUCAAUAAAUAGCAACACGGCAUGGAAACCGGUUCGUGCGUACUGGUUGACAUCUUUAUUACAAUGAACUGUGAUGCUGCGGCAAAUACGUAGCCAGUUCAUGGCCUUCAUCCGGGUAGUUAGUGGUUAAAGCGACGUGAAGUUGACAAGCGACAUGUAACGCUUGAUUCCUGACAAUGCCAAUCACCAACAAUUCUGGAAUAUCUUACAUUUGACUAGAUCACACUAAAGACAAGGGUUCGAUUCCCCACAUGGGUACAAUUCGUGAAGCCCAUUUCUGGUCUCCCCCGCCGUGAUAUUGCCGGACCAUUGCUAAAAGCGACGUAAACCCAACUCACUCACUCAAUCUACUUGUAGUAGUCUGGCGUUAUGUCGGACUACGGAGCUACGGUCCACUGGAUGCCACGGCAUAGUGUACCACGGUUAUUGAUCAUUCGUUGUUUUAGUUAAGCAAAGGAAAUAGUGCAGGAUGUGAUUACAACCCAUCUCUCCGUGUGGGCACCCCUGUUACGUCCCUCAAUGUCGGUCUUGAUACACUUCAUGGCCGAGUAGACAGUAACUAUCCAUAGCUCCAGGUCACGAGACGACUCAUAGAAAUGAUAAUCAGUAAGAUUGUGAUCGCGU
Molecule: long non-coding RNA, 857 nt
Organism: Haliotis rubra (blacklip abalone)
Lineage: Eukaryota; Metazoa; Mollusca; Gastropoda; Lepetellida; Haliotidae
Exons: 2
Source: RefSeq, a predicted model, not a curated record